CCUACGGGGGGCAGCAGUGAGGAAUAUUGGUCAAUGGACGAGAGUCUGAACCAGCCAAGUAGCGUGAAGGAUGACUGCCCUAUGGGUUGUAAACUUCUUUUAUAUGGGAAUAAAAUGUUCCACGUGUGGGAUUUUGUAUGUACCAUAUGAAUAAGGAUCGGCUAACUCCGUGCCAGCAGCCGCGGUAAUACGGAGGAUCCGAGCGUUAUCCGGAUUUAUUGGGUUUAAAGGGAGCGUAGGUGGAUUGUUAAGUCAGUUGUGAAAGUUUGCGGCUCAACCGUAAAAUUGCAGUUGAAACUGGCAGUCUUGAGUACAGUAGAGGUGGGCGGACUUCGUGGUGUAGCGGUGAAAUGCUUAGAUCUCACGAAGAACUCCGAUUGCGAAGGCAGUUCACUGGACUGCAACCGACACUGAGGCUCGAAAGUGUGGGUAUCAAACAGGAUUAGAUACCCUGGUAGUC
RNAcentral lists this ribosomal RNA (460 nucleotides) under uncultured bacterium. Its description in RNAcentral is "partial 16S ribosomal RNA". It matches the Rfam family "Bacterial small subunit ribosomal RNA", at positions 338 to 795 of the family's 1533-position model. The record is from RNAcentral.